Long non-coding RNA from Frieseomelitta varia, 2817 nucleotides. RefSeq lists it as uncharacterized. NCBI's taxonomy places the organism in Eukaryota, Metazoa, Arthropoda, Insecta, Hymenoptera, Apidae. The record is from RefSeq and is a predicted model, not a curated record. The transcript is spliced from 2 exons.
ACGUCACAAGCGACAAAAAGCGGGUUUCGCGGAAAACAGCAUUACAUUUACUUUAACGUAUAUAUGUAUAUACAUUAGCUGAUAAGAUAUUUUCAUCGAAAUCGUGCUGUUACGAAAACCGUAAUGCAACCGGCUGUUUGCGAAACAAAUGUUCACGCUCUCGCAUCCUACAAGCAAUUAUUUCGCACGCCUGUUGCUAAUUAAUUAGCGUAAAAUAUAUAAAAUCGGGCGAUCUCGGGGAUUAUCGAUCCAGACGAUCGUGCACGUUUGUGUCUAUUGUCGAAAAGUGUGCUGCGAUUUUGGCAAUUACUGUAACUUACGUUGACCCACGAUCAUCAUCAGUUCCGUUCUGCUUUUUAAAAUGUACCGCAAUUUUGAAAGUAGGCUGUUAUAGCUAAUCGACUCUGUUUCGUGCAUAUUUUGCAUAUACCACUAGAUAUCACCUUAAGAACUCGUUAUAUUCAACCUUGGAUCACUUAGUGUGAUUUAUGAUGAAAGCAGAAUUCAUUCGUUCUAUAAAAGUCAAUGGCCUUUUACUAAUUUUGACGUGGUUUAUUUUUUAUCUUCUAGAGGUAAAAGGCAAAAACGAUCAACUCGUUUCGUACUAUGCAAAUCAUUAAACAAACACGUUUCUACUUCUAUGUGGAAUGUACUUUCAAGCUAUUACUUAAAAAUUUUAUGAAAACUUAUCUCCUUCUACAACAUAAAACUUAAAUGUAAAAUACACAUUUGCAAUGCAGAUGUUUCAAAUUUUAGCAGUACAAUCGUGAUAUUUUAUUGCAGUACAGUAAUGUAAUUCCAAAAUGAUCUAGUUUAUAUGAUACACACAAUGCACGUGAUUUAAAAGUUCCUUGUGGCAAGUGGUCAAAUACUUUCGUACGCUGUAAUUACUGCAUAAGUUUUACUUACUAAUUUAAUUACUACAUAAUUUUAUUGCAGCGUAGAAAGUAAAACGUCAGUUUGUAAUUUUUCAUCGAUGAAUUCUCGUCACGUUCGUAACAAGACUGAAACAGUGCGCUACGUGGUGAAUCAUUAAGCCAGUAAAUGCGUGUAUAAUCGUCCUCGUUGCUCAUGGACAUCCGAGCAACUGUCCGAUGCGUUUCAUCCCUAUAAGGACUACAUCAGAUUGUUGAAUUAAUGACGGUGCAACCUGACCCAUGAACCUCGAUUCCAAUUUCAACAUGAACCGUGCGACCAGUCUAAACACCGGUUUUUGUACGCCUCCGCGGUCUACGAGCCUUCCUGUUGCGCGAGCCAGCAAUGCCUCCUUCAUGCGGAUGAGCAAGGGCACGAGAAAACAAAAAGCAGCGAGAAGAAAAAGAAGAGAAAAAAAUAUAAACCACGAAGAGACGAAUCAAAUUCCAGUGCUACUUCGUGCUCGAUCCUCCCCGCUAACGGGAAGCGAAUUCCAGAAAACUAGCUGAACACGAAUGCCAUACGAUUAACCCGUUCGGCUCUCCCUCGCUUCACAGCCACGAUCCAUCAAAACUUUUAGUUAGCUCUCAGGAAAGUUAAUUGGACUUUCUGCACGAGAACGAACCGAGUGCGUUAUUAACGUGGCCUGUUUGCACAAACUGCGUCGAACGAAAUGGUUCGAUCUUCUUUUACGAACGUAAUUUGACCGAACUGUUGUUACUUCCGUAUUGUUCGUGUUUUCGCAAUUCUUUGGAUGCAAACACACUUGUGUUGCGCAAGUAUCCGGGCAUUUUCGUCAGAUUUGUAAAUAACAGUACGUAAAUUUUAGCGAAGCGUGCCAUUUAAUGGCAAAUUACUUGGCCGCCUCCUUGGUGGCCAUAAUUUUCAACAACCGUGCCACUUGUACGUGAUAUUGCAUUAGUAGAGUGCAGAUCUUUGCACAAUUAUAAUGAAAAUGAAAGUAUAGAAAUACACUUGCAACAUGUGCCGGAUAAAACAAAUCUCUAUAAAAUAUAAAAUUGUAUAAAUAUCUAAUUUCAUAAAGAACAAAUUCAGAACGUAAUCAGACUUACUGCCAAUUCUACAGGCAAGUGUUCCAGAUACUUUUUUUAACGAUACUGUGUAUGUUUCAGGCACGUUUUACACUCUCAUUAAGGAGGAAAAUCAAACGAUCGUUUCUUCUGAUUCACUUCACUUGGUUAAAGAAGAAAAAAUGGAAGAUACGUUUCUCUUUAGUAAUCAAUUGCACGCGACAUUACCUACUUGUUUCCCAUGUUAUUCAACGCGUUAUAAACUCAGAAUUGAUUUUUUCAGUCUACUAGCUCUCGCGAUGUUCGACGAUACAAUAGUGAAUAGUUUGAUGAAUCUGUAGCAGUUCACGUGUGCGAAAUUCAAUACUUUAUCUAGGCAUUCUUAGUAAAAUUUUAUCAAUUGUUUAUCGCGAUCGAUAGAGGGCCUUUGAUUUGACAGUGCGUCACCGCGAGGUAAAAGCGUCGCCUGCGCGUCUCCAAUGGAUUUUAAUGGAUGGACAUGGAUUUAAUUGAAUACAUUGUAACAUUUUAAAUACGUGGAUCGAAGCCAAGGUUGAUUUUGCUGUUGAUCGUCGAUGACACAAACGAGAUGUCUCUUUGAUGACCAUUUUUUGUGACUCAGGCAUCUCGAGCUGACAUCAAAGCGGUGAUAACAGUAUCUUUGUAUCUAAAGAUCUUUUAUUUGAUAAGAGAUAUUUAUAUGUGUGUGUGCGUGUGUGUGUGUGUGUGUGCAAUUUACAUUGUGUCGAUUUCUAUUUACGACAUAUCGGAAUUUCGCUUAAUAAUACAAAUAAUUACCCCGAGAGAAACAGAGAUUUAAUAACGAUUAGAAAUAAUUACGAUCUGUCGUGUAAAAUGAGAGGCUUAUGAC